CCUACGGGAGGCAGCAGUGAGGAAUAUUGGUCAAUGGACGAGAGUCUGAACCAGCCAAGUAGCGUGAAGGAUGACUGCCCUAUGGGUUGUAAACUUCUUUUAUAUGGGAAUAAAAUGUUCCACGUGUGGGAUUUUGUAUGUAACAUAUGAAUAAGGAUAGGCCAACUCCGUGCCAGCAGCCGCGGUAAUACGGAGGAUUCGAGCGUUAUCCGGAUUUAUUGGGUUUAAAGGGAGCGUAGGUGGAUUGUUAAGUCAGUUGUGAAAGUUUGCGGCUCAACCGUAAAAUUGCAGUUGAAACUGGCAGUCUUGAGUACAGUAGAGGUGGGCGGAAUUCGUGGUGUAGCGGUGAAAUGCUUAGAUAUCACGAAGAACUCCGAUUGCGAAGGCAGUUCACUGGACUGCAACUGACACUGAGGCUCGAAAGUGUGGGUAUCAAACAGGAUUAGAUACCCCAGUAGUC
Molecule: ribosomal RNA, 460 nt
Filed under: uncultured bacterium
Lineage: Bacteria
Description: partial 16S ribosomal RNA
Rfam family: Bacterial small subunit ribosomal RNA
Source: RNAcentral